GGGCAGUGAAGCGAUGGGUCAUCCAUCUCUUCACCUCCCUGUUGGACUUGCCGGGCGUCAGCCCGGCUUUUUUU
This 74-nucleotide non-coding RNA is filed under the name Paracoccus sphaerophysae. RNAcentral describes it as "Paracoccus sp. Zy-3 Singlet oxygen resistance RNA X". It matches the Rfam family "Singlet oxygen resistance RNA X". From Rfam's summary of the family: SorX (RSs2461)like SorY is a singlet oxygen induced sRNA that counteracts oxidative stress by targeting mRNA for a transporter in Rhodobacter. It also has an impact on resistance against organic hydroperoxides. Lineage: Bacteria; Pseudomonadati; Pseudomonadota; Alphaproteobacteria; Rhodobacterales; Paracoccaceae. The record is from Rfam by way of RNAcentral.